This 307-nucleotide long non-coding RNA is filed under the name Homo sapiens (human). RNAcentral describes it as "uncharacterized LOC105371622, transcript variant 1 (LOC105371622)". Lineage: Eukaryota; Metazoa; Chordata; Mammalia; Primates; Hominidae. The record is from RNAcentral.
GCUUUCGUCCGCUCUAGGACACCAGACACACCAGGCCGCCAUGUUGUGUAAGGAUCCCCAGCCAGUGAGCCUAAAAUGGGUAGAAGGAAAAGAUAUUUCUUACCCUACGCACCCAGGUCCAAGUCAUCAUUAUUUUGUCUGAAAUUUAUCUUCCUAACUGAUUUCUCUGCUUCCCCAUUGUGCCUUAAGAGUUAGUUUUCCACAGAGCAGCUCGAGAUAUCUUUUCAGAUCAUUAUAUCCCUUUGCUUAAAAACCUCUAACAGCUUCCUAUUAGGCUUAGAAUAAAGUACAAACUCCUUAAUGUGAA